RNAcentral lists this unclassified non-coding RNA (313 nucleotides) under Hevea brasiliensis (rubber tree). The record is from RNAcentral. Lineage: Eukaryota; Viridiplantae; Streptophyta; Magnoliopsida; Malpighiales; Euphorbiaceae.
GGGAAGUGCUUGAAAUCUGGUAUAAAAUAUACAAAUCCUUUUGAAAUCAAGAAAGGAGAAGACCCUUGAACAAGAAAGCCGCCAAAAAACUGGCCAGAUCAGGCUUGCACACCGGUUAUGGUUUGGUUGCAGGGAGACAUUGUAACUCUUAGUGUUAGUUUCCGCACAACACUAAUGAAAAGUGUAACUACCAUCUGAGGAGUCACCGAAAGGACACAGAACUAUGCAAAUUAGAUCUGAUGAGUCACCAUAAAGAGUCAAAGACAUACGGUGCUACAGAACUCAGAUAUGAGAAAGUAGUUAAAAGAAAGAU